AGGCUCCUCCUCCUCCUCUAUGUGGCUGUGAAGCUCCUCCUCCUCCUCUAUGUGGCUGUGAAGCUCCUCCUCCUCUAUGUGGCUGUGAGGCUCCUCCUCCUCUUCUAUGUGGCUGUGAAGCUCCUCCUCCUCUAUGUGGCUGUGAGGCUCCUCCUCCUCCUCUAUGUGGCUGUGAGGCUCCUCCUCCUCUAUGUGGCUGUGAAGCUCCUCCUCCUCUAUGUGGCUGUGAGGCUCCUCCUCCUCUUCUAUGUGGCUGUGAGGCUCCUCCUCCUCCUCUAUGUGGCUGUGAGGCUCCUCCUCCUCUUCUAUGUGGCUGUGAGGCUCCUCCUCC
RNAcentral lists this long non-coding RNA (331 nucleotides) under Salmo salar (Atlantic salmon). Its description in RNAcentral is "lncRNA (ENSSSAG00000117971.1)". The record is from RNAcentral. Lineage: Eukaryota; Metazoa; Chordata; Actinopteri; Salmoniformes; Salmonidae.